This 468-nucleotide ribosomal RNA is filed under the name uncultured bacterium. Its description in RNAcentral is "partial 16S ribosomal RNA". It matches the Rfam family "Bacterial small subunit ribosomal RNA", at positions 28 to 507 of the family's 1533-position model. The record is from RNAcentral.
GACGAACGCUGGCGGCGUGCUUAACACAUGCAAGUCGAACGGAAAGGCCCUGCUUUUGUGGGGUGCUCGAGUGGCGAACGGGUGAGUAACACGUGAGUAACCUGCCCUUGACUUUGGGAUAACUUCAGGAAACUGGGGCUAAUACCGGAUAGGAGCUCCUGCUGCAUGGUGGGGGUUGGAAAGUUUCGGCGGUUGGGGAUGGACUCGCGGCUUAUCAGCUUGUUGGUGGGGUAGUGGCUUACCAAGGCUUUGACGGGUAGCCGGCCUGAGAGGGGGACCGGGCACAUGAGGACUGAGAGACGGCCCAGACUCCUACGUGAGGCAGCAGUGGGGAAUAUUGUACAGUGGGGGGAAGCGUGAUGCAGCAACGCCGCGUGCGGGAUGACGGCCUUCGGGUUGUAAACCGCUUUCGCCUGUGACGAAGCGUGAGUGACGGUAAUAGGUAAAGAAGCACCGGCUAACUACGUG